UUUCCGGUUGAUCCCGCCGGACCUGACUGCUAUCGGAUUGAUACUAAGCCAUGCGAGUCUUUGUAGUAAUACAAGGCAGACGGCUCAGUAACACGUAGUCAAUCUACCCUAUGGACGAGAAUAAUCUCGGGAAACUGAGCAUAAUUCUCGAUAGAUCAUAAUGCCUGGAAUGGUUUUUGGUUAAAAUGAUUCGUCGCCAUAGGAUGGGACUGCGGCCUAUCAGCUUGUUGGUGAGGUAGUGGCCCACCAAGGCGAUUACAGGUACGGGCUCUGAGAGGAGAAGCCCGGAGAUGGGUACUGAGACAAGGACCCAGGCCCUAUGGGGCGCAGCAGGCGAGAAAACUUUGCAAUGUGCGAAAGCACGACAAGGUUAAUCCGAGUGAUUUCUGCUAAAGAAAUCUUUUGUCAGUCAUAAAAUCACUGAUGAAUAAGGGGUGGGCAAGUUCUGGUGUCAGCCGCCGCGGUAAAACCAGCACCUCAAGUGGUCAGGAUGAUUAUUGGGCCUAAAGCAUCCGUAGCCGGCUCUGUUAGUUUUCGGUUAAAUCCAUGUGCUCAACGCAUGGGCUGCCGAAAAUACUGCAGUGCUAGGGAGUGGGAGAGGUAGACGGUACUCAGUAGGAAGGGGUAAAAUCCUUUGAUCUAUUGAUGACCACCUGUGGCGAAGGCGGUCUACCAGAACACGUUCGACGGUGAGGGAUGAAAGCUGGGGGAGCAAACCGGAUUAGAUACCCGGGUAGUCCCAGCUGUAAACGAUGCAGACUCGAUGAUGCAUUGGCAUAUAGCCAGUGCAGUGUCGCAGGGAAGCCGUUAAGUCUGCCGCCUGGGAAGUACGUACGCAAGUAUGAAACUUAAAGGAAUUGGCGGGGGAGAA
This 871-nucleotide ribosomal RNA is filed under the name uncultured Nitrososphaerota archaeon. Its description in RNAcentral is "bacterial SSU rRNA". It matches the Rfam family "Archaeal small subunit ribosomal RNA", at positions 1 to 878 of the family's 1478-position model. Lineage: Archaea; Thermoproteati; Nitrososphaerota. The record is from RNAcentral.